AUUAAGCCAUGCAAGUCUAAGUACACACGGCCGGUACAGUGAAACUGCGAAUGGCUCAUUAAAUCAGUUAUGGUUCCUUUGAUCGCUCUACCGUUACUUGGAUAACUGUGGCAAUUCUAGAGCUAAUACAUGCCAACGAGCGCUGACCUCCGGGGAUGCGUGCAUUUAUCAGACCCAAAACCCAUGCGGGGCUGCCCUCCGGGGCUCCCCCCGCCCGCUUUGGUGACUCUAGAUAACCUCGAGCCGAUCGCUGGCCCUCGUGGCGGCGACGUCUCAUUCGAAUGUCUGCCCUAUCAACUUUCGAUGGUACUUUCUGUGCCUACCAUGGUGACCACGGGUAACGGGGAAUCAGGGUUCGAUUCCGGAGAGGGAGCCUGAGAAACGGCUACCACAUCCAAGGAAGGCAGCAGGCGCGCAAAUUACCCACUCCCGACUCGGGGAGGUA
Molecule: ribosomal RNA, 445 nt
Filed under: Knipowitschia longecaudata
Lineage: Eukaryota; Metazoa; Chordata; Actinopteri; Gobiiformes; Gobiidae
Description: SSU rRNA
Rfam family: Eukaryotic small subunit ribosomal RNA
Source: RNAcentral